This 481-nucleotide ribosomal RNA is filed under the name uncultured Acidobacteriota bacterium. RNAcentral describes it as "bacterial SSU rRNA". It matches the Rfam family "Bacterial small subunit ribosomal RNA", at positions 8 to 521 of the family's 1533-position model. Lineage: Bacteria; Pseudomonadati; Acidobacteriota. The record is from RNAcentral.
AGAGUUUGAUCCUGGCUCAGAAUCAACGCUGGCGGCGCGCUUAACACAUGCAAGUCGAGCGAGAAAGCGGGGCAACCCGUGAGUACAGCGGCGUACGGGUGAGUAACACGUGGGUAAUCUACCUCCGAGUGGGGAAUAACCCUGGGAAACCGGGGCUAAUACCGCAUAAGCCUGGGAAGGGAAAGCAGCAAUGCGCUGGGAGAGGAGCCCGCGGCCGAUUAGCUAGUUGGUGAGGUAAGAACUCACCAAGGCGACGAUCGGUAGCCGGCCUGAGAGGGCACACGGCCACACUGGCACUGAAACACGGGCCAGACUCCUACGGGAGGCAGCAGUGGGGAAUCUUGCACAAUGGGGGCAACCCUGAUGCAGCGACGCCGCGUGAGCGAUGAAGCCCUUCGGGGUGUAAAGCUCUUUCGGCAGGGACGAUAAUGACGGUACCUGCAGAAGCAGCUGCGGCUAACUACGUGCCAGCCGCCGCCGU